AUCGCUUCUCGGCCUUUUGGCUAAGAUCAAGGGUAGUAUCUGUUACAAAUGUAAGUUCUUGUCUUCACAUUCCUGGGGAACUAUCUGAAAUUUUUUCUUCUCCUAAAAGUGAAGGAUGAGUGGACGACGAAGCAAACUUUU
This 141-nucleotide small nuclear RNA is filed under the name Fukomys damarensis (Damara mole-rat). RNAcentral's name for it is "U2 spliceosomal RNA". It matches the Rfam family "U2 spliceosomal RNA". Rfam says of the family: U2 is a small nuclear RNA (snRNA) component of the spliceosome (involved in pre-mRNA splicing). Complementary binding between U2 snRNA (in an area lying towards the 5' end but 3' to hairpin I) and the branchpoint sequence (BPS) of the intron results the bulging out of an unpaired adenosine, on the BPS, which initiates a nucleophilic attack at the intronic 5' splice site, thus starting the first of two transesterification reactions that mediate splicing. The record is from Rfam by way of RNAcentral. Lineage: Eukaryota; Metazoa; Chordata; Mammalia; Rodentia; Bathyergidae.